Long non-coding RNA from Phyllostomus discolor (pale spear-nosed bat), 813 nucleotides. RefSeq lists it as uncharacterized. The record is from RefSeq and is a predicted model, not a curated record. Lineage: Eukaryota; Metazoa; Chordata; Mammalia; Chiroptera; Phyllostomidae. The transcript has 3 exons.
CUGAGUGGAAGAAAGGCUGACCUCACCUGAAGAAAAAGGAACCCUGCCAGAACACUGCCUUUAGACUCCAACUGCAGCUCCCUGAUUCUCCAGCCUGCCAGCCUAACCCAUCAGACUUUGGACUUGCCAAGCCUCCACAAUCAAAAACUUUCAUGUUGACUGACCAGCCUGACUGAAUAUUUGCAUCAUUUUACCAACAAUUUCUUUUCAGACAUGCAGAUGUUUUCAUCACCUCAAACAGAAGCACCAUACCUGUAAACAGUCACUUCUCAUUCCCCACCCUGCAGCCUCUGGAAACUACUCAGCUGCAUUCUGUCAUUCUGGACAUGCCUAUUCUGGACAUUUCAUCGAAAUGGAAUCAUACAAUAUGUGACCCUUCAUGCCUGGCUUCUUAGGAUAACGUUUCCAAGGUUCAUUUGUGUUGUAGCAGUAGCAGUACUUCACUUCUUUUUAUGGCUCUAUAUGACUUUUACAAAUAACAAUCUGUACGUAGCUCUGAUCUUAAAGAUACUGAAACAGAAAAACCUUACCCCUUUGUACAAAUCAUUUUGUAGAAACUCAAUGGCUCAAAGUCCAGUGUCCACAUUAAACUUGUUUAUUUCUAUCUGCAUGUUCUUAACACCCUCUUGAGUAUCUACCCUCCCAGGUCCCAUUUUAAAAUUUGCCCCUUCAAACAGUACUUUCAUUUUCACAUGUCUAUUUGUUAGACUGUUAAUCAUUCACAGAGCAGACCUAGUUAGCUCUUUGCCCAGCUGCAUCUUCCCUGUCUCCUGGCCACUGUUCCCACCUCCAACAUAAAACCACUUUUAUAUC